UACGGGGGGGGCAAGCGUUGUUCGGAAUUACUGGGCGUAAAGGGCUCGUAGGUGGCCAAUUAAGUCAGGCGUGAAAUCCCCAGGCUCAACUUGGGAACUGCGUCUGAUACUGGUUGGCUUGAAUUCGGGAGAGGGAUGCAGAAUUCCAGGUGUAGCGGUGAAAUGCGUAGAUAUCUGGAGGAAUACCGGUGGCGAAGGCGGCAUCCUGGACCGAGAUUGACACUGAGGAGCGAAAGCCAGGGGAGCAAACGGG
RNAcentral lists this ribosomal RNA (253 nucleotides) under uncultured bacterium. Its description in RNAcentral is "partial 16S ribosomal RNA". It matches the Rfam family "Bacterial small subunit ribosomal RNA", at positions 524 to 776 of the family's 1533-position model. The record is from RNAcentral.